RNAcentral lists this unclassified non-coding RNA (169 nucleotides) under soil metagenome. Its description in RNAcentral is "partial contains 5.8S ribosomal RNA, internal transcribed spacer 2, and large subunit ribosomal RNA". The record is from RNAcentral.
AAGACUAUAGACCUGCGGAGUACCUGCGGAAGGAUCAUUAGUGAACGCCCUCGCGGGCUUAUAACUAUUCCAAACCUCUGUGAACCGUGCCCUUCGGGGCUAUUUUACAAACAUGGUGUAAUGAACGUCAUAUAUCAUAACAAAACAAAACUUUUAACAACGGAUCUCU